GAGACAAGCAUAUGACUACUGGCAGGAUCAACCAGGUAGCGUUCCUUCGAUACGCCGACGCCCGUAUGAGCCCCAUGAGCUCAAAGACAGGCGCAACCGUCGCUCGAGACAUUGAACAAAAUGCAUUGCUUGAUUAGAUGGAGCCCUCAAGGCUCCGCCCAACCACAGCGAAUAACAUUCCGCAUCCGAGAGCACGGGCAAAGAACCUUAUGGGCCGAGGCCGCCACGCAGCUGGGCGAGGCAUGCCAGGAACACGAGGCUUGCCUGACGUCCACCCCACCACCCGUAAGGGCAUGGGGCGGAGAGAAACACACGAACCAUCGAAUUCCUUCGGUUAGGUAAGCAACACAGGAUACCGAA
Molecule: unclassified non-coding RNA, 360 nt
Filed under: Pachylobus klaineanus
Lineage: Eukaryota; Viridiplantae; Streptophyta; Magnoliopsida; Sapindales; Burseraceae
Description: Dacryodes klaineana partial external transcribed spacer
Source: RNAcentral